This is a long non-coding RNA of Gopherus flavomarginatus (Mexican gopher tortoise), 1658 nucleotides long. RefSeq lists it as uncharacterized. The record is from RefSeq and is a predicted model, not a curated record. Lineage: Eukaryota; Metazoa; Chordata; Testudines; Testudinidae. The transcript has 2 exons.
AAGCCGAGCAAGGAAGGCAAAAGUUAAUCUUAUCUUCAUGGGCAGCUCGCAAUGACGUCCUUUUUCUGUGCCACAGCUGACAACAACAUCCCAGACAGAAAAGUAACAGGCCAAAAAGAAACCUAGCAGCUGCUGAAACAGUUCAGUUGGGAGCGUGCUAGACUAACAGGCUCUUCUAACCUCCUUUAUGCACGGGCGGGAUGUUUUCUGAGAGUGCAGCAGUUCCUUUAACUGCCACGAGUCCCUCAUUUCAGGCUAUGCAGCUGGAAAAGACAGCAUGGGCUUCUGCACCGAGUUGGCCCACCUGACCUUUCAUUCUUCUCUUGCUCUUUGUCAGCAAGGAGAAGAAAAAGAAGCUCUCCCUCAAGCUGGAGUCACACGGGCGAGGUGCCUCCUUCCAACACUUGUCAGAAAAAAUGACCGGUUUCUUUUACAAGCAUUUGCAUUGCAAGGCAGAGGCAGUCUUCUCUGCUUCCUCAAAAGAUUGACCAAAAAGUGGGAGGAGUGGACACAUUUGGCAAGGCACCACCACUGGGUUCUGCAUCUCUAACCUCCACUUUACCUGGCAAGUGCCUCUGGGACUUUUCUCCCAGCUGCUCCAUUUUUCAUCAGUGACAAUCAAAAGGAAGACGACAUGACAUCUGUGUGUGGACAUCCCCAGUGAAUCACAAGGACGUGUGGUGCAGGCUUUUAUGUUGCAGCAAUUGCAGUCAAAGCAACCACCAUGCCAAUGCCAGUCACAGCAGCCUUUUCAUCAACUCCAGGCUUGUGAUUUGAUUCUUUCCAACGUUUCUCUCCAAAGAAGCCUUUUCCUUAGCAAGCAAUGACUUGGAUACCAAGGGAGGUCUCUUCUGUUUCCUAGAAAGACACAGGAAAAUGUGAGCAGAGGAGACAAAAGCCAUACAACAAGGCACCACUGGGAGUUGAACCCAGGAUCUCCUGUUUACUAGACAGGUGCUUUAGCCAGCUAAGCCAAGGUGCCUGCCUUGAGAAAGUACUUGCAACUGUUCCCUUUGAUGGUCCAGGACAACACCUGCAAAUUCCAAACUACAGACAUUCCCCAUUUCCCUCAAGACUUGCAAGGAAGAACUGGCAGGCCAAGCCAGGAUCUCCUGGUUACUAGGAAGACACUUCAGCCAGCUCUUCCCAAAGAUCACUAUCUAGAGACCUUUAAACAGCCUCUGUAGAUGUUCACUGACAAAGAGAUGCCAAAAUAGAGUUCUCCACUGCCUGCAGCCAUCACACUACCAGGAGUUCUGCGCACAGAGAGGCCCCUGCUGGUGGAAAAGGCUUUGGUAGAGACUCUUCUGACACCAGCCUGUGCUCAUAUACUGUUUAGCACUUUGUGUUGUGACGUCAGCAUCCACAGAUGCCAGUUGAGUUGGAGGACAUUUUUCCUGUCUCCACAUUUGUCUAAUGGCUCCUUUCAACACUUGCCACCAAAAAGACUUGUUUCUUUUGCAAGCAAUGUACAGCUAGGCAAAGGCAGUCUUCUCCAUUUCCUCAGAAGAUCACCAAGCUGUGGGGAGAGAAGACACAUUCAGCCAAGCUGGAUGCUGAAUCUCCUCUUUAUUCAGCAGGUGUCUGUGAAGGACAUAAAUCUCCACCGUGUAGAGGGCAAGAAUAGGAGUUUAUUACACACAGCACUGGCAGAGUGU